RNAcentral lists this ribosomal RNA (484 nucleotides) under uncultured bacterium. RNAcentral describes it as "partial 16S ribosomal RNA". It matches the Rfam family "Bacterial small subunit ribosomal RNA", at positions 29 to 507 of the family's 1533-position model. The record is from RNAcentral.
AUUGAACGCUGGCGGCAGGCUUUACACAUGCAAGUCGAACGGCAGCGCUGGCUUCGCCCUGUCUGCUAGUGGCCGACGGGUGAGUAGUUCAUCGAGACGUGCCCAGUAGUGGGGUAUAGCCCGGCUAACGCCGGAUUAAUACCGCAUACGACCUGUGCGUGAGAGCGGGGGACCCAAAGGCCUCGCGCUGUUGUAACGGCCGAGGUCGGAUUAGGCAGUUGGUGGGGUUAAGGCUUACCAAGGCGACGAUCAGUAGCUGGUCUGGGAGGACGACGAGCCACACUGGGACUGGGACACGGACAAGACUCCAACGGGAGCGAGAAGUGGGGAAGUUUGGAAUAUGGCGGCAACCCUGAGCCAGCCACGGCCCGUGAGCGUAGAAGGCCUUCGGGUUGUAAACCGUUUUUGUUCGGGAAGAAAUGCUAUGGGCUAAUACCCCGGGGGGAUGACGGUAACGGAAGAAUAAGCACCGGCCAAAUACGUG